Neogale vison (American mink) is the source of this 278-nucleotide long non-coding RNA. RefSeq lists it as uncharacterized. NCBI's taxonomy places the organism in Eukaryota, Metazoa, Chordata, Mammalia, Carnivora, Mustelidae. The transcript has 3 exons. The record is from RefSeq and is a predicted model, not a curated record.
ACCCCCCUCACCACUCCCUUUCUUUGAAGGACUUUCCCUAUCAAGGACCGAUGAACUGGUACUCACCAGGGAGCCGAGCAGGCUGGGAACCUGGGCUGGCUCAUCAGACGCAGAAAAUGACAGACACCAAGAGAGGAAGGUCAAGGGCAUGUUUAGUUCAGGUGAUAAGAGAUGCUCUGAACACUUCGUGAUUUGUUCCCAGUUUGCCUCAACACCAGGGCCCCAGGCCGCCUCCUAUCAGGUGAGCUCCAGCAGGGAGAUGUCUUGGGGCCACGUGC